This 893-nucleotide long non-coding RNA is filed under the name Elaeis guineensis (African oil palm). RNAcentral's name for it is "long non-coding RNA (EGUI_LNC050778)". The record is from RNAcentral. Lineage: Eukaryota; Viridiplantae; Streptophyta; Magnoliopsida; Arecales; Arecaceae.
UCAUUAUAGGUAGACUUCAGCCGAGCUUCUUCGUAGCCGGAUCCCAGACGAGUUUGUAUAGCGGGACAGGACCCACCGGCCAGAUUGCUACUCCUAGCUCCCACGACAACCGACCUUCGAUCGAGCUUCUACAAUAAGCAGUCUCCUUUCAGCCCUCUGCAAGAACCAAACCUCGAUCGAACUUCCAUAGCGAAUGGAUAUCGGACGAGCUUCUACGACGGACGGACUCCGGCAGCUGGAUUCUUACAACGAUCGAUCGCCUUCGACGUUUGCCGAACCUUCCCAGCACCAUCCGAAGUCCAUCGUCGGCCGACCUCCCGCCAGAUCCUUCAUGAAAUCGAACUUCUCCGGUGGAUCAUCUUCAGACGAGCUUCCACAUCAGGCGAAUCCCAGAUAGACUCCUCUAGCAAUCGGACUCCUACCGGGCUUCACCAAUGGAAAGUCUCCAUCUGAGCUUCUCCCAGAUCGACGGGAUAGAGAGCCAUCUCGCUCCGUCAGAUGUCCCAACCGAGCUUCAACCGACAGAUCCGAACUCUCUGGCAAGUCACGACAAUGGCCACUACCCUGCUCCACUCUCUGCAGUGGAUUCCGUGUGGCUCCACUACUCUCUGGCAAGUCACGACAACGGACACCACUCUACCCUCUGUAGCAAACUCCACGUGGCUCUGAACAACCCCUGAUGCCACUACUCUCUGUAACAAACUUUAGGCGGCUCUGAAUGGCCCACUACCAGGCAGUUACAGACAUCACUGUCAAGCAGUUACGCUCUCCGUCUAUAAAAAGGGAUCCCCAGAUAUGUUCUUCUCUAAGCUCAAAAACUCUAUCUCAAAAUUCUGCUAAAAUUCUCACUCGAGCACUCCAUUUCUGUUGAAGCAGAGUACUGACUUAAGCAU